RNAcentral lists this ribosomal RNA (442 nucleotides) under uncultured bacterium. Its description in RNAcentral is "SSU rRNA". It matches the Rfam family "Bacterial small subunit ribosomal RNA", at positions 26 to 518 of the family's 1533-position model. The record is from RNAcentral.
AGAACGAACGCUGGCGGCAGGCUUAACACAUGCAAGUCGAGCGCCCCGCAAGGGGAGCGGCAGACGGGUGAGUAACGCGUGGGAACAUACCCUCCGGUUCGGAAUAGCUCAGGGGAAACUUGGAUUAAUACCGGAUACGGCCUAGCGGCGAAAGAUUGAUCGCCGGAGGAUUGGCCCGCGUCUGAUUAGCUAGUUGGUGGGGUAAUGGCCCACCAAGGCGACGAUCAGUAGCUGGUCUGAGAGGAUGAUCAGCCACAUUGGGACUGAGACACGGCCCAAACUCCUACGGGAGGCAGCAGUGGGAAUAUGGACAAUGGGCGCAAGCCUGAUCCAGCCAUGCCGCGUGAGUGAUGACGGCCUUAGGGUUGUAAAGCUCUUUCGCUAGGGACGAUAAUGACGGUACCUAGACAAGAAGCCCGGCUAACUUCGUGCCAGCAGCCGC